UUCUACCUACGGGGGGCAGCAGUGGGGAAUAUUGCACAAUGGGGGAAACCCUGAUGCAGCGACGCCGCGUGAGCGAUGAAGUAUUUCGGUAUGUAAAGCUCUAUCAGCAGGGAAGAAAAUGACGGUACCUGACUAAGAAGCCCCGGCUAACUACGUGCCAGCAGCCGCGGUAAUACGUAGGGGGCAAGCGUUAUCCGGAUUUACUGGGUGUAAAGGGAGCGUAGACGGCGGUGCAAGCCAGAUGUGAAAGCCCGCGGCCCAACCGCGGGACUGCAUUGGGAACUACCGGGCUGGAGUGCCGGAGG
RNAcentral lists this ribosomal RNA (305 nucleotides) under uncultured bacterium. Its description in RNAcentral is "bacterial SSU rRNA". It matches the Rfam family "Bacterial small subunit ribosomal RNA", at positions 333 to 655 of the family's 1533-position model. The record is from RNAcentral.